UCAAGAGUACGUGAAACCGCUUAGGGGUUAAGCCCGUUGAACCCGAAUAUCUGAAAGUGGAAAUUCAAUGUUAGAAUUUAUUUUAUAUAAAUUUCAAAUAUGCACUUUUCUCUUGAUGACGUUGCGAUCCAUUAAUAAUUUAUCAUAAGAAUAAAUGUUAUAUGUUUGUAAAAGUUAUGAUAUUUUUAUUAUAAAUUUUUUUGCAAUAUAUAUUUAUUCUGGUAAAUAUAAUUGAUGGUUUUUAAAGAUAAUACCAUGCACUAUAAGUGUAUCACAUUAUGUGAUGUGUAUAUAUAUCUGAUUAGCAACGAAUAUGUUUGGGAUACCUUCGGGACCCGUCUUGAAACACGGACUAAGGAGUCUAGCAUAUAUGCAAGUUAUUGAAUUUUAAAUUCAAAAGCAUAAUUAACAUAACUAUUAUGGGUUUACCUAUGUAAUUUAUAUUAUAUAAUUCAAACCCGGGAUGUCUCAAUAAUGUCAUUAUGACAUAGAGGCAUACUUUGAGCAUAUACGCUAGGACCCGAAA
RNAcentral lists this ribosomal RNA (526 nucleotides) under Ptychoptera albimana. RNAcentral's name for it is "eukaryotic LSU rRNA". It matches the Rfam family "Eukaryotic large subunit ribosomal RNA", at positions 389 to 821 of the family's 3401-position model. Lineage: Eukaryota; Metazoa; Arthropoda; Insecta; Diptera; Ptychopteridae. The record is from RNAcentral.